UGGGGAAUUUUGGACAAUGGGCGCAAGCCUGAUCCAGCCAUGCCGCGUGCGGGAAGAAGGCCUUCGGGUUGUAAACCGCUUUUGUCAGGGAAGAAAUCUUCUGAGUUAAUACCUCGGGAGGAUGACGGUACCUGAAGAAUAAGCACCGGCUAACUACGUGCCAGCAGCCGCGGUAAUACGUAGGGUGCAAGCGUUAAUCGGAAUUACUGGGCGUAAAGCGUGCGCAGGCGGUUUUGUAAGACAGAGGUGAAAUCCCCGGGCUCAACCUGGGAACUGCCUUUGUGACUGCAAGGCUUGAGUGCGGCAGAGGGGGAUGGAAUUCCGCGUGUAGCAGUGAAAUGCGUAGAUAUGCGGAGGAACACCGAUGGCGAAGGCAAUCCCCUGGGCCUGCACUGACGCUCAUGCACGAAAGCGUGGGGAGCAAACAGGAUUAGAUACCCUGGUAGUCCACGCCCUAAACGAUGUCAACUGGUUGUUGGGAAGGUUCCUUCUCAGUAACGUAGCUAACGCGUGAAGUUGACCGCCUGGGGAGUACGGCCGCAA
This 543-nucleotide ribosomal RNA is filed under the name uncultured bacterium. RNAcentral describes it as "partial 16S ribosomal RNA". It matches the Rfam family "Bacterial small subunit ribosomal RNA", at positions 355 to 891 of the family's 1533-position model. The record is from RNAcentral.